GCGCCUGUGGCUCAAAGGAGUAGGGCUCUGGCCCCAUAUGCCAGAGGUGGCGGGUUCAAACCCAGCCCUGGCCCA
Molecule: non-coding RNA, 75 nt
Organism: Otolemur garnettii (small-eared galago)
Lineage: Eukaryota; Metazoa; Chordata; Mammalia; Primates; Galagidae
Source: Rfam